UUUCUGUCUUUACAUAUCAUAAGAUACUAUGAUGAUUGUGAGCACUCCAUAUUGCACAUUAGUUAGUAUAUUAAAAAAAUUCUUAAUACAAAUUUUCUCAUUAGAACUUGAUCAUGAAAAUUAAUCUAGAAAAAUGGGCUUUCUGGCUUAAAUCUUAAAAUCUGUAGUAAGGUUGAUAAAACAAGAAACAUAUCUAUAAGAAUAUUAGACGCAAACUACCACUCUACUUUAAUAGCUCCUCUAACUAAGUA
This 251-nucleotide small RNA is filed under the name Rickettsia prowazekii. RNAcentral describes it as "partial sR58 non-coding RNA". The record is from RNAcentral. Lineage: Bacteria; Pseudomonadati; Pseudomonadota; Alphaproteobacteria; Rickettsiales; Rickettsiaceae.